AUGGUCGGGAUAGCUC
Molecule: transfer RNA, 16 nt
Filed under: Hemerocallis fulva var. angustifolia
Lineage: Eukaryota; Viridiplantae; Streptophyta; Magnoliopsida; Asparagales; Asphodelaceae
Also listed under: 1 other name
Description: partial tRNA-Phe
Source: RNAcentral